AAAAACAUAGCUUUCAAUAAAGGACCUUUGGUUUGAAGUGUUGAAGGUGAGGCCUGCCCAGUGGUUGUAUUUAAAAUUGAGUAAUAAAAUAAGUUGCUCGACUAAGAACAAUUAAAUGGCCGCGGUAACUCUGACCGCGAUAAAGUAGCGCAAUCAAUAGUCAAUUAAUUGUUGGCAAGUAUGAAUGGCUUAACGAGUAUCCCGCUGUCUCAAGAUAAAUACCAAUGAAAUUGAAUUCGUAGUGAAGAUGCUACGUGCAAAUUGUUAGACGAGAAGACCCCGUUGAGCUUUACUGGAAACUUAUAUUGUUUUUUUCAAUAAAUGGGAUUUAUGGGUAGGUAUACUACUCAAUUUUUUGGUAAUAACUAAUUAUAGGUGUAAGUAGGACAGUUUGAUUGGGGCGAUCGCCUUCUAAAGAGUAACGAAGGUGCACAUAAGGUGAAUAUUGUAAUAGAAUAGAAUAAAGGCUUGACAGUAAGAGUAAUUCUCGAGCUGACACGGUGGAUUAAACCGUGGGUUAUAGUGACCCGUUUGUUUAGGGUGGGAUAACUAACGAUCAAUAAAUAAAAGUUACCGCGGGGAUAACAGCGUAAUCUCGUUUGAGAGUUCGUAUCGAUGACGAAGUUUGCGACCU
The sequence is a ribosomal RNA, 634 nucleotides long. It matches the Rfam family "Bacterial large subunit ribosomal RNA", at positions 1809 to 2526 of the family's 2925-position model.